UGGGGAAUAUUGUACAAUGGAGGGAACUCUGAUGCAGCGACGCCGCGUGAGAGAUGAAGGAAUCCGUUUCGUAAAACUCUGUUCUAUGGGAAGAAAAGGACUGUACCAUAGGAGAAAGCUCCGGCUAAAUACGUGCCAGCAGCCGCGGUAAUAAGUAUGGAGCGAGCGUCGUCCGGAAUUAUUGGGCGUCAAGGGUGCGCAGGCGGCUUUACAAGUUGGUUGUGAAAUAUUGUUGUUCAACCACAAACGUGCAUCCAAAACUGCAAAGCUUGAGUUAAGGAGAGGUAAGUAGAAUUCCUGGUGUAGCGGUAGAAUGCGUAGAUAUCAGGAGGAAUACCGGUGGCGGAGACGCCUUACUGGACUUAAACUGACGCUGAGGCACAACAGCGUGGGGAGAAAACAGG
RNAcentral lists this ribosomal RNA (404 nucleotides) under Fusobacteriota bacterium. Its description in RNAcentral is "Fusobacteria bacterium partial 16S ribosomal RNA". It matches the Rfam family "Bacterial small subunit ribosomal RNA", at positions 355 to 776 of the family's 1533-position model. The record is from RNAcentral. Lineage: Bacteria; Fusobacteriati; Fusobacteriota.